RNAcentral lists this non-coding RNA (949 nucleotides) under Heliophobius argenteocinereus (silvery mole-rat). RNAcentral's name for it is "partial 12S ribosomal RNA". It matches the Rfam family "Bacterial small subunit ribosomal RNA". The record is from RNAcentral. Lineage: Eukaryota; Metazoa; Chordata; Mammalia; Rodentia; Bathyergidae.
UAGCUUUUUUAUUAGUUAAAAGCAAAAUUACACAUGCAAGAAUCCCCAAGCCAGUGAAAAUACCCUUAAAAUCUUAAUGAUUUAAAGGAGUGGGUAUCAAGUUCACAUCAGUAGCUCAUUACACCUUGCCAAGCCACACCCCCACGGGAUACAGCAGUGACAAAAAUUAAGCAAUAAACGAAAGUUUGACUUAGUUAUGCAAUACACUAGGGUUGGUAAAUUUCGUGCCAGCCACCGCGGUCAUACGAUUAACCCAAAUUAAUAAAAAUCGGCGUAAAGAGUGUUUAAGUGAUAUAUUAAACUAAGAUUAAAUUUUAUCUAAGUUGUAAAAAACUAUAGAUAUUUAAAAACACAAUAAACGAAAGUAAUCUUAUUAAACCUGAACACACUACAGUUAAGACCCAAACUGGGAUUAGAUACCCCACUAUGCUUAACCAUAAACAUCAAAUAUUACAUUUACUAACAAAAUAUUUCGCCAGAGGACUACUAGCCACGGCUAAAAACUCAAAGGACUUGGCGGUGCUUUAUAUCCAUCUAGAGGAGCCUGUCCUAUAAUCGAUAAACCCCGAUAAACCUCACCAUUUCUUGCUAAUUCAGUCUAUAUACCGCCAUCUUCAGCUAACCUUUAUAAAGAAUAAAAGUAAGCGCAAUAAUUAUCAUAAAAACGUUAGGUCAAGGUGUAACCAAUGAAGUGGGAAGAGAUGGGCUACAUUUUCUUUUUCCAAGAACAUUUAAACGAAAGUUACUAUGAAAUUAUAGUAACCUAAGGAGGAUUUAGUAGUAAAUUAAGAAUAGAGAGCUUAGUUGAACAAGGCCAUGAAGCACGCACACACCGCCCGUCACCCUCCUUAAGUAUCAACAUUUCUGCCUUAAUUAUUGUAAAGAAAACAAAUUAUGAAAGGAGACAAGUCGUAACAAGGUAAGCAUACUGGAAAGUGUGCUUGGAAAA